UACGUAGGGUGCGAGCGUUAAUCGGAAUUACUGGGCGUAAAGCGUGCGCAGGCGGUUUUGCAAGUCAGAUGUGAAAUCCCCGGGCUUAACCUGGGAACUGCAUUUGGGACUGCACGGCUAGAGUACGGCAGAGGGGGAUGGAAUUCCGCGUGUAGCAGUGAAAUGCGUAGAUAUGCGGAGGAACACCGAUGGCGAAGGCAGUCCCCUGGGCCUGUACUGACGCUCAUGCACGAAAGCGUGGGGAGCAAACAGG
RNAcentral lists this ribosomal RNA (253 nucleotides) under uncultured bacterium. RNAcentral's name for it is "partial 16S ribosomal RNA". It matches the Rfam family "Bacterial small subunit ribosomal RNA", at positions 524 to 776 of the family's 1533-position model. The record is from RNAcentral.